AGUGAACGCUGGCGGCAGGCCUAACACAUGCAAGUCGAGCGGCAGCGGGUCCUUCGGGAUGCCGGCGAGCGGCGGACGGGUGAGGAAUACAUCGGAAUCUGCCCUGUCGUGGGGGAUAACCUAGGGAAACUUAGGCUAAUACCGCAUACGACCUACGGGUGAAAGCGGGGGAUCGCAAGACCUCGCGCGACAGGAUGAGCCGAUGUCCGAUUAGCUAGUUGGCGGGGUAAAGGCCCACCAAGGCGACGAUCGGUAGCUGGUCUGAGAGGAUGAUCAGCCACACUGGGACUGAGACACGGCCCAGACUCCUACGGGAGGCAGCAGUGGGGAAUAUUGGACAAUGGGCGCAAGCCUGAUCCAGCCAUGCCGCGUGGGUGAAGAAGGCCUUCGGGUUGUAAAGCCCUUUUGUCCGGGAAGAAAUCGUCUGGGCUAAUACCCCGGGCGGAUGACGGUACCGGAAGAAUAAGCUCCGGCUAACUUCGUG
Molecule: ribosomal RNA, 484 nt
Filed under: uncultured bacterium
Lineage: Bacteria
Description: partial 16S ribosomal RNA
Rfam family: Bacterial small subunit ribosomal RNA
Source: RNAcentral